UACGUAGGGGGCAAGCGUUAUCCGGAUUUACUGGGUGUAAAGGGGGCGCAGACGGCGAUGCAAGCCAGGAGUGAAAGCCCGGGGCCCAACCCCGGGACUGCUCUUGGAACUGCGUGGCUGGAGUGCAGGAGGGGCAGGCGGAAUUCCUGGUAUAGCGGUGAAAUGCGUAGAUAUCAGGAGGAACACCGGUGGCGAAGGCGGCCUGCUGGACUGCAACUGACGUUGAGGCCCGAAAGCGUGGGGAGCAAACAGG
This 253-nucleotide ribosomal RNA is filed under the name uncultured bacterium. RNAcentral describes it as "partial 16S ribosomal RNA". It matches the Rfam family "Bacterial small subunit ribosomal RNA", at positions 524 to 776 of the family's 1533-position model. The record is from RNAcentral.